Molecule: ribosomal RNA, 116 nt
Filed under: Nomascus leucogenys (northern white-cheeked gibbon)
Lineage: Eukaryota; Metazoa; Chordata; Mammalia; Primates; Hylobatidae
Source: RNAcentral
AUCCAAGGCCACAUGAACACAAAUGCACAGUCUCCUCUGCGAUUGGUAGCUAAGGAUGCUAGGCCAUGAUUGGACUAGGAUGGGAGAUGAUCUGGCGACAAUAGCUUCUGUGGACU